Molecule: long non-coding RNA, 1208 nt
Filed under: Coturnix japonica (Japanese quail)
Lineage: Eukaryota; Metazoa; Chordata; Aves; Galliformes; Phasianidae
Description: lncRNA (ENSCJPG00005012646.1)
Source: RNAcentral
UCUUUGAAGGAAGAUUUGACUCAGAAUUUACUGAUAUUUGAAGACUUAUUUCAUACUGGUAUUUCUGGCACAUGUCUAUGUUUAUUUCUUCCUACAUGUUGCCUUUUUUUUUUUUUUUUUUUUUUUUUUGUCCUCACCAGGAGAUGGAGUCUUUCUCUGACAACUUUGAUAUAAAUAAAUAGGAUCUGGAACCCAAAGUCCUGGCAGUCUAAACAAAGAGUAUAACUACAUGUGCAGUGAUGGGAAAACACACUGGUAAAUCCAGGUGAGAGUGGUGAAAACCGUGACAAUAGGAAUGUGCUGUUGAUUAUCUGAAGAAUUGAAGCUUUGUUCACUAGUAGCGUAAUACUGGAAUCGAGAGGAGACAUCAGUCAGGUGGGCUGGUGCAUUUUUUCUCCACUGUGAGUAUGCACCUGUGUUCAUUUCACCAUUGAAAGACCAAAAUAUUCCUCUGCGUGCCAUUGCGUGCUGUGCUGCAACUCUUUCCUCACCCACUGUACUGCACAAUGGUGGUACUCUGCUUUGUCAAGGGGAACCUCUACCCGGAUACAAAACUAUACAAAUGAAUUAUGAAACAAAACAGGGAGUACUUUAUCAAGCAAAGAGGCAUUAUCCUCCUGUUGUGUGAAGGUGAGACUAAAUUAAAUGCGAUAACAAAGAGCAGUUGCAACUCUUCAUUGCCGUUAGAGCAAUUCAGUGUUGCAGAAUUAAGAAUCACUUAAGAAUCUGUUUAAAAGUUGUGACUGCACCUUAACUGGAAUAAGGGCAAAGUAGGAGACUGAGACAGUCCUCUUCCUUUUCACGAGGUGCGCUUUCAAAUACUGUUAUGCAAUCUGAAUGAGAGUCCUUUAGUGAAUUGUGCUUCUGCCCUGUAGCUGGAAUCCAUACCACGAAACACUAAAUAUGGAUAAAUGAAAAUAAGAGUUAUCAUUUCCCUGAUGAGAUGAUAGAGUCCCAGCUGAAUAAGGGAUUUGGCAAAAGGAUUGUGGUGAGAACACUGUAAUGAGUUCAGAACAUCCUCGUGGCACAGCUCAGGUCUAGCACAGUGCUUAGUCACGUGGUGUGGGUCAUUGGACAAACAUUUUGGAAACCUUAGUAUUUGAAAUAAGGCUAGACUGUGUUUUUCCAAAGCAUUUGCGUUGGAUUUGGAAUGAAAUGACUCCUUAAGAGGUGUUUGCAGCACUUGAGCUGGAGUUGUCAGACUUAAG